UUAUUAUAUACACAAGGUCUGGAUAGGAGGUAUUCUGCAACCUGAUUGGUUCUCUACUAGCAGGAUAUAUUAGCUCAUAUCCGCUAGUAGAGAAAAACAAAAUGGCGGCUAAAAUUGAAUUUCCGAUGUUUUGCGAACGAGAAAACGGCAAGUUGUUCGCUUUUUAUAGCCUUUACAGGAUUAAAAACACAAUGAAAAAACUCGCACAAAUUGUUUACAGGUUAGCAAAUGAAUUUUUAAAAUUUAAAAUGGUUAAAAAUAUAUAUUUUGGAAAAAAUAAUCGGCCGAAAGAGCGAAGAUAAAAACAUAAACAAAAUAGAAAAAUAUUGAAAAUAACAGAAAAGCAAAGUCUGUGAAUUCAGACCUUGUGUAUAUAAUAAAACAGUUAUUCCACUCACUCUCGUCGAAUAUGAGCGAUAGCCGAUUCGGCGCUACGCGCCUUAUCGGCUAUCAGCUCAUAUUCGACUCGAGUUCGUAGAAUAACUGUUAAAUAUAU
Non-coding RNA from Paramuricea clavata, 496 nucleotides. The record is from the annotation of a GenBank genome assembly. NCBI's taxonomy places the organism in Eukaryota, Metazoa, Cnidaria, Anthozoa, Malacalcyonacea, Plexauridae.